GGACGAACGCUGGCGGCGUGCCUAACACAUGCAAGUCGAGCGGGGUCCAUCCGGUAGCAAUACCGGGGAAGACCUAGCGGCGAACGGGUGAGUAACACGUGAGAAACCUGCCCCGAAGUCUGGGAUAACCCGAGGAAACUCGAGCUAAUACCGGAUGUCUUCUUCUGAUCGCAUGGUCGGAUGAAGAAAGAUUUAUCGCUUCGGGAGGGUCUCGCGGCCUAUCAGCUAGUUGGCGGGGUAACGGCCCACCAAGGCGUCGACGGGUAGCUGGUCUGAGAGGACGAUCAGCCACACUGGGACUGAGACACGGCCCAGACUCCUACGGGAGGCAGCAGUGGGGAAUAUUGCGCAAUGGGCGAAAGCCUGACGCAGCAACGCCGCGUGCGGGAUGAAGGCCUUCGGGUUGUAAACCGCUUUCAGUGGGGACGAAUUCAGACGGUACCCACAGAAGAAGCCCCGGCCAACUACGUG
This 471-nucleotide ribosomal RNA is filed under the name uncultured bacterium. RNAcentral's name for it is "bacterial SSU rRNA". It matches the Rfam family "Bacterial small subunit ribosomal RNA", at positions 27 to 507 of the family's 1533-position model. The record is from RNAcentral.